CGGCGGACGGGUGAGUAACACGUGGAUAACCUACCUAUAAGACUGGGAUAACUUCGGGAAACCGGAGCUAAUACCGGAUGAUAUUUUGAACCGCAUGGUUCAAAAGUGAAAGACGGUCUUGCUGUCACUUAUAGAUGGAUCCGCGCUGCAUUAGCUAGUUGGUAAGGUAACGGCUUACCAAGGCAACGAUGCAUAGCCGACCUGAGAGGGUGAUCGGCCACACUGGAACUGAGACACGGUCCAG
This 244-nucleotide ribosomal RNA is filed under the name uncultured Staphylococcus sp. Its description in RNAcentral is "partial 16S ribosomal RNA". It matches the Rfam family "Bacterial small subunit ribosomal RNA", at positions 96 to 334 of the family's 1533-position model. Lineage: Bacteria; Bacillati; Bacillota; Bacilli; Caryophanales; Staphylococcaceae. The record is from RNAcentral.